AAAAAAUAAUAAUAAUAAUAAUCUGCUUCCACACCGACCGAAUCUUCCAGACAUUUCUGAUUUGGAGAUGGUAUUAAAUUUCUAAUCAUUUGCGAUAUACUGCAGUAAAAAGCAAGCUUAAGAAACCUUUUGAGUUGAAAUUUAGUUUUUUUCUUUUUUGUUUUCUUUUUUUUAAAAAGAAAAACCACAAUCAUAUUGUGUUGCUAAAAACAUUUGCAAAAUGACUCUAUUGAAGCUCAUUCUCGCAUGAAAAAAUUAACCCACUCCCAAUUAUGACGAUAAACACAAAUUCAAAACCGUUCCGUUGCAGGUACUUGUAUCAUCUUAUGUAAUUUGCAGCAGCAAUCAAUCUCUAUGUUGCUCCUUGCCAACUGCAGCAGGAAUAGCUAUGAAGUCAACAAAAUGUGUUUUAAGAUGACUGGAGUAUCUUCUUGUAAUCCUGGAAAGUUCCAUGGAAAGGUGUCACUCUUCCUUGUGAAACCACCCAUAGCUCCUCUACGCUUCCAGAUAUUAGAUGCUCAUCGUGACUAACCAUGAGAAUCCCUCCUUGGAACAAGACAAGGCCUUGGAUUAGUGCCUCCACUGCGUCCAAAUCAAGAUGGUUGGAUGGCUCAUCCAACAAUAUUAUAUGUGGUUUCCUGAAAGUUAUCUUUGCAAAUGCAACCCUGCUUUUCUGACCACCAGAUAGUGUGUACAUUGGUUGAAGUGCCAGAUUUCCAGUUACCCCAAAAGAACCCAAGUGAGCACGAAGCUUUUGUUCAGGCACCCCUGGGAAGCAGCGCAUCAUAUAUAAAAGAGGAUUGGAAGACAGGUCAAGUCCAUCAACAUGGUGCUGACUAAACACGGCAAUUCGAACCUUCAAACAGGACAAUACAAGUAUCCAUCAGAUUCAUAUAUAGAAAGCAGACUUUAAGUCAUCAAUAGCACAAUAACUAGCAUAACACAAUUUUAAUAGAGAAAAUGGUUAAACAAAGAAAAAUUUUGAAAAUCUCCAUUCGACCAGCACCAAACAGUGUAAACAGGCUGCUUUUCUGUUUUCAAUUUCCCCCCUUGGAAAGAGACAAAUUUUACAGUUGAGACGUUAUCUGGUAGAACAACAAACACUUAUAGAUGUAUGAUGGAGGUUUUAUAAUUAAUUAUAAAUUGGUAUGCAAAAAGUGGAAUCAUAAGAAAAAAGCAAGACACCUUAGCAGAACGAAAGAUGGUGCCAGAGCUUGGUUGUAGUUCUCCAGCUAUUAAUUUAAGGAUCGUUGAUUUCCCAAUGCCAUUUGGCCCAACCAUUGCAAUGCGGCUGUCCAGAUCUAUCCCAAAAUUCAAGUUCUUAAAUAACAUGGGCCCCCCUGGAUAACCAAAUGAUGCAUCACUGAAACUUAUUAUAGGGGGACCUGGUCUAUCAUCUGGAGUAGGAAACUCAAAUUUGUAGUCUGGGUCAUUAACAAUUUCAUCUACAUGACCCAUUCGCUCCAAUGCCUUGAUUCGUGACUGGACAAGAGAUGCCCUCUUUGCAUUAUAACGAAAUUUGUCAAUAAAGGACUGCAUAUGGGCUCUUGAUCGUUCAUUUGCUUCAAAUGCUUUCUGUUGGUUCUUAAUUUGUUCCUCCCGUGUCUUCUCAAAUGUAUCAUAAUUACCUUUGUAAGCACUCAACUUUUGCGCAUGUAGAUGGAGAAUGUCUGUGACGACCGUGUUCAAGAAUUCUCUAGCAUGAGAAACAACUAUAAAUGUUUUUGGCCACUUCAUCAGGUAAGAUUCCAGCCAUAGGACAGCAUGAAGAUCAAGAUGGUUUGUAGGUUCAUCGAGUAGCAAUAAAUCAGGCUCUAUAAAAAGGGCACGAGCAAGAGCUAUUCUCAUUCGCCAUCCUCCAGAAAAAGUUUUGGUUGCCUUUUUCUGCAUUUCUGGAGAGAAACUGAGGCCCGCAAGAAUGGAAGCAGCACGUGCUUCUGCAGAGUAUGCGUCAAUAAACUCAAGCCUUUUGUAUAUUUCCUCAAGCCUUGGUGCAAUACCAUCUUUGUCAAUUGCCCCAUUGUGAUCCCCUUUGAGAUCUCCAUUUUCUCCCUCAAAUUCCAAUUCUCUCUGUUGUGCAAGUAGACGAGCUUCUUCUUGCAAAAGCUGGGUUCUCUCAAUAUCAGUGUUCAGAACACAUUGCAAGGCUGAUGUAUCAUCACCAACCACUUCUUGCUCAACAUGUAAGAUUUGGCAGUUUGCAGGAAUACCAUCAAUAGCAUGCAUAGCCAUGUGCCUGAGGAAAGUUGUUUUCCCAGUACCAUUUCUUCCAACAAGGCCAUAAUGCCUUCCAAAAGAAAGUGUGACUGAACCAUCAACAAUGAGAUCACGGCCACCCACUGAGAUACUGAAGUUCUCCAUAUGAAUAUCCUUGACGGUUGGUCCACUACCAAUAUCAUGAUUCACACAUACAACUGGCAUGCCAGCUCUAACUGCUUCCAUUUCUGCUAGAUGCAUUUGAUAUUGUGCCUCUCUUUGCCGCUCCUCCUUUCUCUUUCUCCUCUCUAGCUUUGCACGGUCACGCUCAGACAGAACAGGACCAUCCAUAACCUCAGGCUUCUUCACUGGAACCUCCUCAUCCAUUCCAUCAUUCAUUCUUAGGGGCGUCGUAAGGCUCCGUACAGUUGGUUUUGCUUUUACUAACCCAUGCUUUCCAAAUUUUUCAGAUAGCUUACAACAAACCAAACGGCAUUCAGAGAAGUCGGAGACGCAGCCGGCACCAACGAGGAGUUCACCUAUAGCUUCAAAGGCACCCUCACCUUCCUCGCCGAAAUCGAAAUCAUCAUCGGCGAGGACGUUGAUGAUGUAAUCGAUGAUUGGCUGAUCCACAUCCUGGACUCGGCGGCCGAGCACCUCGUGCACCGCUGAGCUGGCCACUUCAGUCAUGGCCGAAUACUCGAAUCAAAGAAGAAAAUGGUACUUAGGUUUUGCAAAGACGGAAAGCAGGUAAGGUUACAAAUACAGGAAGAGCUCAAUUGAGAGACAGAGGUACAGAGCUCCUCCGCUCAAUGAGUGCACGGCGUCGUAUAACAGAGACAAGGAGUGUCUGAUAAACCUGGGUAUACGAUAAGACUCACAAGACCCACCGGCCUUCUGAAAUAAAAG
Molecule: unclassified non-coding RNA, 3105 nt
Filed under: Hevea brasiliensis (rubber tree)
Lineage: Eukaryota; Viridiplantae; Streptophyta; Magnoliopsida; Malpighiales; Euphorbiaceae
Source: RNAcentral